UGCGGAGCUACCAUGCAGUCGAGCGGUAGAGAAGAAGCUUGCUUCUUCUUGAGAGCGGCGGACGGGUGAGUAAUGCCUAGGAAUCUGCCUGGUAGUGGGGGACAACGUUUCGAAAGGAACGCUAAUACCGCAUACGUCCUACGGGAGAAAGUGGGGGAUCUUCGGACCUCACGCUAUCAGAUGAGCCUAGGUCGGAUUAGCUUGUAGGUGAGGUAAUGGCUCACCUAGGCAACGAUCCGUAACUGGUCUGAGAGGAUGAUCAGUCACACUGGAACUGAGACACGGUCCAGACUCCUACGGGAGGCAGCAGUGGGGAAUAUUGGACAAUGGGCGAAAGCCUGAUCCAGCCAUGCCGCGUGUGUGAAGAAGGUCUUCGGAUUGUAAAGCACUUUAAGUUGGGAGGAAGGGUUGUAGCUUAAUACGCUGCAACUUUGACGUUACCAACAGAAUAAGCACCGGCUAACUCUGUGCCAGCAGCCGCGGUAA
RNAcentral lists this ribosomal RNA (486 nucleotides) under uncultured Pseudomonas sp. Its description in RNAcentral is "bacterial SSU rRNA". It matches the Rfam family "Bacterial small subunit ribosomal RNA", at positions 38 to 523 of the family's 1533-position model. Lineage: Bacteria; Pseudomonadati; Pseudomonadota; Gammaproteobacteria; Pseudomonadales; Pseudomonadaceae. The record is from RNAcentral.